GGCAAGCACAAGGCGGAGAACCGGGAGGAGGCUUAUGCACAGCUGCACACAUUGAUUCGUAAACAGUACGUAAGCACUGGUUGCAGUUGCUAUAUGUCUGGAACUUGCUUCAAAAUAAUACAGGAGGUAGGGAAAGAAUGGGUUACAGGUGAAGCAAAAUGGGCCCUGACUUGACCUUGAAGUUACAGGACAGGUCCAGGAGGUUCAGUGAUACAAGGUGUUCCAACUUCAUACACUUGUGUAUUUUUGAAAUGUUCCACAAUAAUAAAUUAAAUCAAUAUGUUUUUAGAAA
Myotis brandtii (Brandt's bat) is the source of this 292-nucleotide long non-coding RNA. RefSeq lists it as uncharacterized. NCBI's taxonomy places the organism in Eukaryota, Metazoa, Chordata, Mammalia, Chiroptera, Vespertilionidae. The transcript is spliced from 2 exons. The record is from RefSeq and is a predicted model, not a curated record.